RNAcentral lists this long non-coding RNA (508 nucleotides) under Solanum tuberosum (potato). RNAcentral's name for it is "long non-coding RNA (STUB_LNC009137)". The record is from RNAcentral. Lineage: Eukaryota; Viridiplantae; Streptophyta; Magnoliopsida; Solanales; Solanaceae.
UAUCUUUUAGUUGAGUAUAUAUCUUUGAGUUGAGUAUCUGUCUCUGAGUCCAGUAUCUAUCUUCUGAGUUGAGUAAGUUUGAGUAGUUUUGAGUAUUCCUUGAGUUGAGAAAGUUUGAAAAGAGGUAAGUUAUUCAGUUUAUUCCAGUUUUUCUUCUAGCCUAUGUUGUUUAGCUUUCCAGCUUACAUACUCGUACAUUCCACGUACUGAGCCAUUUGGCCUGCAUCUUCUUAUGAUACAGACACAGGUAUUCAUGAUCAUCAACGGGAGAUUCGUUGAUACAUCCGGGAGUUCCAGUUAGCUAUGACAAGCCUCCUUGCUUUCGGAGGAUUUCAUUUACCUUUCAGUUGUAUCAGUUGUUAGGAGGUCGUGGGUCUUGUCCCGGCUUCCAUCUUUAUCAGUUAGAGGCUUUAUAGAUAGACAGUAGAGUUUCAGAAGUCUUUUCAUUUAUUUUGUUAAAUGUUUUGAUGACUAAGUUGCCUUUUAUGGCGAGUUGUAUAUAUAUUCU